RNAcentral lists this ribosomal RNA (296 nucleotides) under uncultured Verrucomicrobium sp. RNAcentral's name for it is "partial 16S ribosomal RNA". It matches the Rfam family "Bacterial small subunit ribosomal RNA", at positions 9 to 312 of the family's 1533-position model. Lineage: Bacteria; Pseudomonadati; Verrucomicrobiota; Verrucomicrobiia; Verrucomicrobiales; Verrucomicrobiaceae. The record is from RNAcentral.
GAGUUUGAUCCUGGCUCAGGACGAACGCUGGCGGCGUGCUUAACACAUGCAAGUCACGGGGGCUGGAGCAAUCCAGCAACCGGCGAACGGGUGCGUAACACGUGGACAACCUGCCCUCGUGUGGGGGAUAGCCGGGCUAACGCCCGGGUAAUACCGCAUACGUUCUUUCUGGGGAGUCCUGGGAAGAGGAAAGCUCCGGCGCACGGGGAGGGGUUCGCGGCCUAUCAGCUCGUUGGCGGGGUAAUGGCCCACCAAGGCGACGACGGGUAGCUGGUCUGAGAGGAUGGCCAGCCACA